RNAcentral lists this ribosomal RNA (253 nucleotides) under uncultured bacterium. RNAcentral's name for it is "partial 16S ribosomal RNA". It matches the Rfam family "Bacterial small subunit ribosomal RNA", at positions 524 to 776 of the family's 1533-position model. The record is from RNAcentral.
UACGGAGGGUGCGAGCGUUGUCCGGAAUCACUGGGCGUAAAGGGCGCGUAGGCGGCCUGAUAAGUAGGGGGUGAAAUCCUGCGGCUUAACCGCAGGGUUGCCUUCUAAACUGUCAGGCUUGAGCACAGUAGAGGCAGGUGGAAUUCCCGGUGUAGCGGUGGAAUGCGUAGAGAUCGGGAAGAACAUCAGUGGCGAAGGCGGCCUGCUGGGCUGUUGCUGACGCUGAGGCGCGACAGCGUGGGGAGCAAACAGG